GUUGUCUCUCUUGAGUGGAUCCUGAGUACGACGGAGCACGUGAAAUUCCGUCGGAAUCUGGGAGGACCAUCUCCUAAGGCUAAAUACUCUCUAGUGACCGAUAGUGAACCAGUACCGUGAGGGAAAGGUGAAAAGCACCCCGGAAGGGGAGUGAAAUAGAACCUGAAACCGUGUGCUUACAAGUAGUCAGAGCCCGUUAAUGGGUGAUGGCGUGCCUUUUGUAGAAUGAACCGGCGAGUUACGAUUUGAUGCAAGGUUAAGCAGUAAAUGUGGAGCCGUAGCGAAAGCGAGUCUGAAUAGGGCGUUUAGUAUUUGGUCGUAGACCCGAAACCAGGUGAUCUACCCUUGGUCAGGUUGAAGUUCAGGUAACACUGAAUGGAGGACCGAACCGACUUACGUUGAAAAGUGAGCGGAUGAACUGAGGGUAGCGGAGAAAUUCCAAUCGAACCUGGAGAUAGCUGGUUCUCUCCGAAAUAGCUUUAGGGCUAGCCUCAAGUGAUGAUUAUUGGAGGUAGAGCACUGUUUGGACGAGGGGCCCCUCUCGGGUUACCGAAUUCAGACAAACUCCGAAUGCCAAUUAAUUUAACUUGGGAGUCAGAACAUGGGUGAUAAGGUCCGUGUUCGAAAGGGAAACAGCCCAGACCACCAGCUAAGGUCCCAAAAUAUAUGUUAAGUGGAAAAGGAUGUGGCGUUGCCCAGACAACUAGGAUGUUGGCUUAGAAGCAGCCAUCAUUUAAAGAGUGCGUAAUAGCUCACUAGUCGAGUGACACUGCGCCGAAAAUGUACCGGGGCUAAACAUAUUACCGAAGCUGUGGAUUGUCCUUUGGACAAUGGUAGGAGAGCGUUCUAAGGGCGUUGAAGCAUGAUCGUAAGGACAUGUGGAGCGCUUAGAAGUGAGAAUGCCGGUGUGAGUAGCGAAAGACGGGUGAGAAUCCCGUCCACCGAUUGACUAAGGUUUCCAGAGGAAGGCUCGUCCGCUCUGGGUUAGUCGGGUCCUAAGCUGAGGCCGACAGGCGUAGGCGAUGGAUAACAGGUUGAUAUUCCUGUACCACCUAUAAUCGUUUUAAUCGAUGGGGGGACGCAGUAGGAUAGGCGAAGCGUGCGAUUGGAUUGCACGUCUAAGCAGUAAGGCUGAGUAUUAGGCAAAUCCGGUACUCGUUAAGGCUGAGCUGUGAUGGGGAGAAGACAUUGUGUCUUCGAGUCGUUGAUUUCACACUGCCGAGAAAAGCCUCUAGAUAGAAAAUAGGUGCCCGUACCGCAAACCGACACAGGUAGUCAAGAUGAGAAUUCUAAGGUGAGCGAGCGAACUCUCGUUAAGGAACUCGGCAAAAUGACCCCGUAACUUCGGGAGAAGGGGUGCUCUUUAGGGUUAACGCCCAGAAGAGCCGCAGUGAAUAGGCCCAAGCGACUGUUUAUCAAAAACACAGGUCUCUGCUAAACCGUAAGGUGAUGUAUAGGGGCUGACGCCUGCCCGGUGCUGGAAGGUUAAGAGGAGUGGUUAGCUUCUGCGAAGCUACGAAUCGAAGCCCCAGUAAACGGCGGCCGUAACUAUAACGGUCCUAAGGUAGCGAAAUUCCUUGUCGGGUAAGUUCCGACCCGCACGAAAGGCGUAACGAUUUGGGCACUGUCUCAACGAGAGACUCGGUGAAAUCAUAGUACCUGUGAAGAUGCAGGUUACCCGCGACAGGACGGAAAGACCCCGUGGAGCUUUACUGUAGCCUGAUAUUGAAAUUCGGCACAGCUUGUACAGGAUAGGUAGGAGCCUUUGAAACGUGAGCGCUAGCUUACGUGGAGGCGCUGGUGGGAUACUACCCUAGCUGUGUUGGCUUUCUAACCCGCACCACUUAUCGUGGUGGGAGACAGUGUCAGGCGGGCAGUUUGACUGGGGCGGUCGCCUCCUAAAAGGUAACGGAGGCGCUCAAAGGUUCCCUCAGAAUGGUUGGAAAUCAUUCAUAGAGUGUAAAGGCAUAAGGGAGCUUGACUGCGAGACCUACAAGUCGAGCAGGGUCGAAAGACGGACUUAGUGAUCCGGUGGUUCCGCAUGGAAGGGCCAUCGCUCAACGGAUAAAAGCUACCCCGGGGAUAACAGGCUUAUCUCCCCCAAGAGUUCACAUCGACGGGGAGGUUUGGCACCUCGAUGUCGGCUCAUCGCAUCCUGGGGCUGUAGUCGGUCCCAAGGGUUGGGCUGUUCGCCCAUUAAAGCGGUACGCGAGCUGGGUUCAGAACGUCGUGAGACAGUUCGGUCCCUAUCCGUCGUGGGCGUAGGAAAUUUGAGAGGAGCUGUCCUUAGUACGAGAGGACCGGGAUGGACAUACCUCUGGUGUACCAGUUGUCGUGCCAACGGCAUAGCUGGGUAGCUAUGUGUGGACGGGAUAAGUGCUGAAAGCAUCUAAGCAUGAAGCCCCCCUCAAGAUGAGAUUUCCCAACUUCGGUUAUAAGAUCCCUCAAAGAUGAUGAGGUUAAUAGGUUCGAGGUGGAAGCAUGGUGACAUGUGGAGCUGACGAAUACUAAUCGAUCGAAGACUUAAUCAA
This 2531-nucleotide ribosomal RNA is filed under the name Staphylococcus aureus. RNAcentral describes it as "partial 23S ribosomal RNA". It matches the Rfam family "Bacterial large subunit ribosomal RNA", at positions 387 to 2925 of the family's 2925-position model. Lineage: Bacteria; Bacillati; Bacillota; Bacilli; Caryophanales; Staphylococcaceae. The record is from RNAcentral.